AAAAUAGGCGGGAUAGCUGCCCGUAGCGCUAAGCGCGCGGGAGGAAAGUCCGAGCUCUAAAGGACAGCGCAGCGGAUAAUAACCGCCACCCUUAAAGGCUUGCCUUUAAGGGGAGGAAAAGAGCCACAGAGACGAGUCGUCCUAUUGCUCUUGUAUCGCUAUGCGAUGCAAGAGCAAAACGUAAGAAGGACGGGUGAAACGCGGCAAUCUCUGCGUAGAGCAAUGCUAAGUAGUCUCUGACAUCCCGUCUGACGGGAAUAGGACUGUCCGUCUGAAAAACAGAGUCAGAGAGGGUUGGCUGCUAGAGCCCGCGGAGCGAUCCGCAGGUCGAGUCAAAUAGCUAUCAUGCCCUGCUGUCCUGAAAUCGCGAGCGAUCCCAGGACAAAACGUAACCAGGGCAGACAGAACUCGGCUUAUACGUCUAUUUUGGAA
This 432-nucleotide RNase P RNA is filed under the name Candidatus Phelpsiimicrobium noxiivivens. Its description in RNAcentral is "Candidatus Omnitrophica bacterium CG1_02_44_16 RNase P RNA component class A". It matches the Rfam family "Bacterial RNase P class A". Rfam says of the family: Ribonuclease P (RNase P) is a ubiquitous endoribonuclease, found in archaea, bacteria and eukarya as well as chloroplasts and mitochondria. Its best characterised activity is the generation of mature 5'-ends of tRNAs by cleaving the 5'-leader elements of precursor-tRNAs. RNAcentral also lists the same sequence under 2 other names. Lineage: Bacteria; Pseudomonadati; Candidatus Omnitrophota. The record is from RNAcentral.